This 468-nucleotide ribosomal RNA is filed under the name uncultured bacterium. Its description in RNAcentral is "partial 16S ribosomal RNA". It matches the Rfam family "Bacterial small subunit ribosomal RNA", at positions 28 to 507 of the family's 1533-position model. The record is from RNAcentral.
GACGAACGCUGGCGGCGUGCUUAACACAUGCAAGUCGAACGGAAAGGCCCGGCUUUUGUUGGUUGCUCGAGUGGCGAACGGGUGAGUAACACGUGAGUAACCUGCCCUUGACUUUGGGAUAACUUCAGGAAACUGGGGCUAAUACCGGAUAGGAUCUCCUGCUGCAUGGGGGGGGUUGGAAAGUUUCGGCGGUGGGGGAUGGACUCGCGGCUUAUCAGCUGGUUGGUGAGGUAGUGGCGUACCAGGGCUUUGACGGGUAGCCGGCCUGAGAGGGUGACCGGCCACAUUGGGACUGAGGUACGGCCCAGAAUCCUACGGGCGGCAGCAGUGGGGAAUAUUGCACAAUGGGCGGAAGCGUGAUGUAGCAACGCCGCGUGCGGGAUGACGGCCUUCGGGUUGUAAACCGCUUUCGCCUGUGACGAAGCGUGAGUGACGGUAAUGGGUAAAGAAGCACCGGCUAACUACGUG